AUGUCCGCGACGCCCGACGCGGCGGCGGAUGGCGCCGCCUCGACCCCGACCUCGCGGGCGCCCGGCAUGGCGUCGUCGGCGUCGCUCCGGCACCGCGCCAUGAGCGCCUCCUCCAAGAUGCUCCGCAGCUCGCUGAGCCGGCGGUCGGGGCGGCAGCGCAGCAGCAAGGUGAUGUCGGUGGCCAUCGAGGACGUGCGCGACGCCAAGGAGGCGGCCUCCGUGGACGCGUUCCGGCAGACGCUGGUCCUGGAGGAGCUCCUCCCGGCGCGCCACGACGACUACCACAUGAUGCUCCGCUUCCUCAAGGCCCGCAAGUUCGAGAUCGACAAGAGCAAGCAGAUGUGGUCCGACAUGCUCAACUGGCGCAAGGAGUUCGGCACCGACACCAUCAUGGAAGAUUUCCAAUUCGAGGAGGUGGAGCAGGUGCUGGAGCACUACCCGCAGGGGCACCACGGCGUGGACAAGGACGGCCGGCCGAUCUACAUCGAGAAGCUGGGCGCCAUUGACACCACCAAGCUGCUGCAGGUCACCAGCAUGGACCGCUACGUGAGGUACCACGUGAGGGAGUUCGAGAGGGCCUUCGCCCUCAAGUUUCCGGCCUGCUCCAUCUCCGCCAAGCGCCACGUCGACCAGAGCACCACCAUCCUCGACGUCUCCGGCGUGGGCUACAAGAACUUCAACAAGGCUGCGAGGGAUCUCAUCGGCCAGCUCCAGAAAAUCGACGGGGAUAACUUCCCUGAGACCCUGUGCCGGAUGUUCAUCAUCAACGCCGGUCAGGGAUUCAGGCUCCUGUGGAACACCGUCAAGUCCUUCCUUGACCCCAAGACCACAGCCAAGAUCCAUGUUCUCGGCAACAAGUACCAGAGCAAGUUGCUGGAAGUCAUUGAUCCAAGCGAAUUGCCCGAAUUCUUUGGGGGCACUUGUGUAUGCGAGGGCGGAGGUUGCAUGCGCUCCGACAAAGGACCGUGGAAGGACCCUGAAAUCAUAAAGAUGGUGCAAUGUGGCUUGGGGAGGUGCGGGAUGAACAACUCGGACCCUGCCAGCGCCGAGGAGAAGACGAUCACCGAGGACGAUGCUGCGCCGGCUGUAAAGAAGCAAGAGUCGAUGCGCCGUGACGGCGUCGACUCUCCUAAGGUGGCGCACGACAAGGUCGAACACCCGCCGCAUAUGGCUCCCCUCCAUGAGGUGCCAAAUGAAGAGGCCAAGGCUGCUCCUUCCGGUAACGAGGGGGGCUCCGCGCCCUACGACGAGCUCUUCCCCAUGGCGGACAAGGGCAUGGAUUUCAACUGGAACGGCGAGAUGAGCGCGGAGAAGCUCGCCAUCGCGAGAGAUAUGUACGCGUCGCUGCCGGACGCGUACAAGCACGGCGACGCCGGGGACCGGCAGGUGGUGACGGGGUUCAUGGCGUUCGUGAUGGGGGUGGUGGCCAUGUUCCGGGUGGGCAAGAUCGCGCCGAAGCGCGCCAUGGACGCGGCCAUGGGCAUCGCCACCAUGGAGGCCAUGGCCAAGAACCGCAAGCUCCUGCAGGCCCAGGGGCAGGGAGGGGGAGGCGGGGGCCCGGUCAUGGUGGCGGGGGUGUCGACGGCGCAGUACGAGGCGCUGGCCAAGCGGGUGGGCGACCUGGAGGAGAAGGUGGCCGCCCUCGGGUCGCGGCCCACCGAGAUGCCCGCCGACAAGGCGGAGCAGCUCGCCGCCGCCGCCACCCGGCUCGACGCCCUCGAGGCCGAGCUCGAGGCCACCAAGAAGCUUCUGGAGACGUCGAAAGGGCAGCAGGAGGAGGUGCUGGCGUACAUCGAGAAGAAGAAGAAAAAGAAGGGGAUGCAGAACCCGUUCCGUUGGUGA
This 1842-nucleotide ribosomal RNA is filed under the name Triticum aestivum (bread wheat). RNAcentral's name for it is "partial small subunit ribosomal RNA". Lineage: Eukaryota; Viridiplantae; Streptophyta; Magnoliopsida; Poales; Poaceae. The record is from RNAcentral.